This 152-nucleotide unclassified non-coding RNA is filed under the name uncultured fungus. Its description in RNAcentral is "sequence contains ITS1". The record is from RNAcentral. Lineage: Eukaryota; Fungi.
UUAAAUUUUGUUUUUCUUCAGAUACAAAGCUAAAUAGCAUAGACUCGAUACCCAGAGACGUCGAAGUACAUCUCACUUCCGUAGAUUUAUGGAUGAAGGAUCCCAGAGGAUCCAUCUUUUUAAUAAUCCAUCCAUAGAUUCAUCUACGGAGA